UGCAGUCGAGGGGCAGCAUGGUCUUAGCUUGCUAAGGCCGAUGGCGACCGGCGCACGGGUGAGUAACACGUAUCCAACCUGCCGUCUACUCUUGGACAGCCUUCUGAAAGGAAGAUUAAUACAAGAUGGCAUCAUGAGUCCGCAUGUUCACAUGAUUAAAGGUAUUCCGGUAGACGAUGGGGAUGCGUUCCAUUAGAUAGUAGGCGGGGUAACGGCCCACCUAGUCUUCGAUGGAUAGGGGUUCUGAGAGGAAGGUCCCCCACAUUGGAACUGAGACACGGUCCAAACUCCUACGGGAGGCAGCAGUGAGGAAUAUUGGUCAAUGGGCGAGAGCCUGAACCAGCCAAGUAGCGUGAAGGAUGACUGCCCUAUGGGUUGUAAACUUCUUUUAUAAAGGAAUAAAGUCGGGUAUGCAUACCCGUUUGCAUGUACUUUAUGAAUAAGGAUCGGCUAACUCCGUGCCAGCAGCCGCGGUAAUACGGAGGAUCCGAGCGUUAUCCGGAUUUAUUGGGUUUAAAGGGAGCGUAGAUGGAUGUUUAAGUCAGUUGUGAAAGUUUGCGGCUCAACCGUAAAAUUGCAGUUGAUACUGGAUAUCUUGAGUGCAGUUGAGGCAGGCGGAAUUCGUGGUGUAGCGGUGAAAUGCUUAGAUAUCACGAAGAACUCCGAUUGCGAAGGCAGCCUGCUAAGCUGCAACUGACAUUGA
Molecule: ribosomal RNA, 703 nt
Filed under: uncultured bacterium
Lineage: Bacteria
Description: bacterial SSU rRNA
Rfam family: Bacterial small subunit ribosomal RNA
Source: RNAcentral